Cinara cedri is the source of this 1352-nucleotide non-coding RNA. The record is from the annotation of a GenBank genome assembly. Lineage: Eukaryota; Metazoa; Arthropoda; Insecta; Hemiptera; Aphididae.
AAGAAAUAUUGCUCAGACAAAAAACGACAAGAAAAUCUAUUUUGUGUUACUUUUAAUCUAGUUGGUGAGUAAAGAAGUCGGGUUUUGAUAUCCCCUGUUUUUUUAAUAAUUCAGCAAACUCGAAAAAAUUUCGUGUUCUAAAACCAUCAUACGUAUAAAUUGCAAAUACGUCAUUUUCACAAUAUAUGUAUUACUCGCCAUACCUAUUUAAAAAAAAUAUGUAUUUUUAUCUUCUGCAGUUAUUUUUAUCUUCGUUACAUAUUUAUUAAUAAUUUUCGAAUAAUUUUUAUGUGACGUUACAUAAAAAUCACCAAACACCAAAUUACGAUUACAAAAAAAUAUUUGCGAAUUUCACCCGUCUCGUAUUGUGUUUUUUACGUUUUUCUCGUUUUCAAUCGUCGCAAUGUUCAAAUGACGUUUGUCAGAUACUUAAUAAUAACAAGUAACAAAAUAUUACGUUAGUAAAUAUAAUCCAUUAAUCCGUCGGGAUUGCUAUCCCAUGAGUUUUACACAUAAACUAUACGAUAAGGUGUAUUAAAAUAUCGAAAAAAAAAUGUCUGUCGUUCGGAAUAAAAGGUAUUCGUAAGCUAGCGUACUAGCGUUUCGUAUAAUUUGUCGUUCGUGUAUACAUUGAUAAUAAUACUUGUAAAAAAUAGUCCCGCCAAAUCGAAUAAACCUUAAAAUUCGAUUAACGCCGUCGAGUCGAGUCAAAAUAUUAUCCUCCGUACAAAAGUCAAUUUAUUGGACUGUGAUCCCCCAGAGUAAACGAAUGAAAUAAAAUAAAAAAAAAAAAAAAACGAGAAUAACGAAAAUCGCUCGGCGUUACGAUAAUAUUGUUAUCGAAUUCACGUCGAGUUGAUUUCACAUGGAAUAACAUGCAUUAUACUAUAUAGAAUAUUAGAUCGCACGUGUUCCUCGGAGAAUUCGAGUAAGUAUUGUGUGUACACAUUAUACUGCACACUGUUAUUGGCAUCACUCACUGGAAUGAUAUUAUAUUUUCAGGGAGCCGCUUAAGAAGCAACAACACGUAUAUCAUUUUUUUACAACUUAACGCGAGAAUAAAAAAAACACGACGUAUUUCAAUUUCAUAAACUGAAUUAAAGUUUAAAUUCAUAAAGAAGUCUAUUGCCGGUCGUAUGUGGUAGUUAGAUGUAGAUUUCAAUGUUGUCUGCAAUUUUCCGGAUCUUUUUUUAUCGAAUAUUCGAUUAGUCCGUUGAUUUGUUACAAAAAAAAACACACCAAACUACGUAUGGUACAAUGUCACCGACUAAUUUGAACAAAAUAUUUAAUAUCAAUUUUCGAAAAGACACACAUUAUGUUGAAAAAUUUUAACUUUCUUCGGAAUUUUUUUU